Molecule: ribosomal RNA, 449 nt
Filed under: uncultured bacterium
Lineage: Bacteria
Description: partial 16S ribosomal RNA
Rfam family: Bacterial small subunit ribosomal RNA
Source: RNAcentral
AACGAACGCUGGCGGCAUGCCUAACACAUGCAAGUCGAACGAAGCCUUCGGGCUUAGUGGCGCACGGGUGCGUAACGCGUGGGAAUCUGCCCUUGGGUUCGGAAUAACAGUUAGAAAUGACUGCUAAUACCGGAUGAUGUCUUCGGACCAAAGAUUUAUCGCCCAAGGAUGAGCCCGCGUAGGAUUAGGUAGUUGGUGGGGUAAUGGCCCACCAAGCCGACGAUCCUUAGCUGGUCUGAGAGGAUGCUCAGCCACACUGGGACUGAGACACGGCCCAGACUCCUACGGGAGGCAGCAGUGGGGAAUAUUGGACAAUGGGCGAAAGCCUGAUCCAGCAAUGCCGCGUGAGUGAUGAAGGCCUUAGGGUAGUAAAGCUCUUUUACCAGGGAUGAUAAUGACAGUACCUGGAGAAUAAGCUCCGGCUAACUCCGUGCCAGCAGCCGCAGUAA